Taeniopygia guttata (zebra finch) is the source of this 9622-nucleotide long non-coding RNA. RefSeq lists it as uncharacterized. The record is from RefSeq and is a predicted model, not a curated record. Lineage: Eukaryota; Metazoa; Chordata; Aves; Passeriformes; Estrildidae.
AUAUCAGAUUUCCUCUAAGGGUGAGGCAUCUAAAUAGCACCCUGCUUUUUACAUAACUAGGACUCUGGGAGUGGCUUUCUUCUGUAGUCUUUGAUACUGGCGUACUGGCUUCCCUGAGCUGCCCUCUAAUUUGUAGUGAUUCUGGUGAGAAGAGAUUAAGGUCUGUCAUGCCAGAGAUUUGCAUGAGCACUUCUUCAUUCCAUAUGCAACACUUUGGUUUAACUUUUGAUGGGAAAGUAGAGCUCAGAGUGUCUGACCUAUUUAUCCCUUUUCUGUUCCUUUUUUUGAGAUAAAAUUGUCAUAUAGAUGAAUUGCACACAACAGAGUAUGUGUGUUUGGUUUCUGUGUCACUUUAAGUAAAUCAAAGAGAAAAAUCUUUUGUAAUCAGCUAGCCUUUAAUUUAAUAACACGUUUGAAAAAUUGAUGGUAUACAAUAGGUUAUCAAACCCAAACAUUAAAGAUUUCAGUUUGACAUGGCUGGAAUGAAUCAUACAGACACAAAAGGCCAAAUUUGCAAUUCUUUAUCUGGAGUAAAGAAAAAAAAAAUCAUUUCAGUUUCAAGACCUGCACUAAUGAAGGAAUAAAGAAUUUAAAAUCUGGCCUAAGGAAGUUAAAGAUAUGCUUGAAACAUAAGUGUUCAUUACAACAGCAUUUGCAAUUCCUUUACCAGAGAGUUUUAGCACACUGUGGAUCAUUGUUUAUAGUUUAUUGUAUGCUACCAUUAAGAAAUACCUCCAUAUACUUUUCCUAAUUUAUGCCCUUUUCUUGUAACUUUUCAGCUUCCCACAUACACAACCCCCAUGCUGGAUCUGCUACACUCCAAAACAUGUGAGUGACAACAGGCUUGACAGCCCUUGGGGUGGUGAAAGAUCUGGUGAGAGCGAGCCUCCCCAUCAUGCUCAUCAGCCUUAAGCAAUCAUGUCUGUGAUCAUGCUACUGAAAUACAGAGGUCCUGAAAGACCAGCAAACCGAGAGAGGACGGAGAAGUCGGAGCCUUGGCUAUGUGUCUAGCUCUGGAAUCCUAUUCAGAAUACUUGCUGAAUCAAGAUUACAUCAACUUCCAGAUUGUGUUCCCUUUAUGACUGGCCAGCUCUACAAUUUCUAAAAAUGGUUUGUACAAGUGUCUGAGAUGUUUUGACCUACUUUGACACAGAGAAUUAUGAUUAUACCAUGGGGAGCUUGGAGAGAGUGAAUGAAGCAGUGGUGGUGCUUCCAGCAACGCUGUGCUAGAGAAAGGCAGGACCAUGAUGGAUCUUGUCCCCAGAGGUAAUGUGACUUGAAGGCACCACCUGAGCCUUGCAGCAUAACCCAUGGCUGAAGGGUGAAGGAAACUCAGCCAUUUCCUGCAUAGCAGAGAUGGAUCUACUUUUGUACAUAUCAGAGGGGUGGCAUAAUGGAACUCCUGGCCCACAGGGUGCUGAACCACAGAAGGAUUUGGGCUGGUAGGGCCCUCCAGAGAUCUCUCUAGUCCAUAUGCUAUUGAGGUGAGUAAGACUAACUUAGAAGUUAGACCUGAAUCUUCUGUGUCUUAGCGAGUUUUGUAUAUAUUCAGGGUUGAAGAGACUACAGCAUUCUGGACAUGCUUCUUGUGAUUUUUUUUUUUUUUCCCUCACUUGUUCAAAAUUUCCUUUGUUUCAAUACACAGUUUGAAGAAAGAAAUGUCUGUCUCAGCCUCUCCUACAAUCCCCCUCUAUGUAGUUGAAUAGUUCAUUGAGAUCCCCCUUAAUGAGGCAAGCUUCACUCAUUCACACUCUCCUUAUGGAUCAUAAAGCCAUAUCCCUGCUGGGCUGGAACCAGUGGGUCAAUAUGUAUUACAUAUUGGGGAACCCAAACCCUUGGCUUUAUGCAGGACACUGCUGAGUGUUCUUACUUGUCCUUUUCUCUUUGUCGCACUGCAUCUACCCCUGCUCAGGCAUGACCAUGACUUAACCAGAAGCCUCUGAGCAAAAUCUACCCUGCUUCACAUUUUGCCUGCCGCCUCUGCAGGUUCUUCAAGUGGUCCUUUAUAAAUAAAAGGGAGUUAUUCUCCUUCAGCCUCUACCAUGUCUGAGACCUCAGAAUCUUUCUCAGAGCCCAUGCUGCUGCAGCACAAGGGGUGAUCACUGCAGGCUGUUCCCAGGAUUGUGCUCCUUAGCACAUCUUCAUCUGUUUCCUUGGGCAGGCACCCUGCAUCCCGCACCACUGGACUCAAUGGACAACCUCACCUUAUCAUCUGUAUUGUUCUCCAUGGGGUUGUGGAGAUAAAGUCAAAUAAAAUCUAUUCUUUAUUUUUAGAUCCUCCUGCACCCAGGAACAAAUAAUGAACUAGGUAAUAGGUAAUUAUCUAGGUAAUUAUCUAGUUGCAUUUUUUUAUGUCUGACUGAAUAGUGUCUCACAUUGAAGGAAUAACAAAUGUUCCCAAUGACUUCGGUGGAGUGGGACUUAUCCCUGUUGUUUAUGAAGACUCCCUUUGCUGGUGAGUAUCUGGGACCUGAAAUACCUGGUAGCUUCUGACAGAAAAAGCAGAAGUUUAUCCUUAUUCAAAUAUUUAUGAAAUAAAUAUAACAAAACUAGAUCAAACAUUAAACUCCCUCCACCCUGCCCCAAGGAAAUGCGCCUUUAGUAACUGAAUAACAAUCAGAAUACAUACAAGACUUAUUCUGCUAAAUAUAAACGGUAAAUUUGUUAGGUUGGCUAUUGAACAUCACUUUAAUAGCAUUGAUUACUAAAGAAAUUUCCAUUUCACUAUCAUUUAAUAUUCAUAGCUCUUACAUACUUCUUUUAAUUGUUCUGGAAUAUAAUGAACCAAGUUAAAUUAAGUUGCUCUGUAAUCAAUAAUAUGUUACUCUGCCACACGAAGUUCAAGAAGUGUUCAUGAAAUAGGGAGCACAAAAUGAUUGUAAAUACAUUUGGAAGAGACAAGACAAAAGUUACUUUACAAAACACAGGAAGGACUACUUGAAGUCUUUUCUUAAUACCUUUCUUUUAUAGAACAUAAAGGAUUUUGUUAAUAUAUUCUUUUGAAAAUAAAAGACAAAAUGGCAUAAAUCACACUAUAGCUGUUCACUUGUGUUCAUGGGAAAAUUUGUACAAAUGUGCCUUAGUAUGAUUCAAAUAAAGAUUAGAUUCACAUUAGUAAGAAUGUAAAAGUAGGUAGAUAUCUGAAGUUUUUCUAGCUCAGAAGGCAUCUACAAAGGCUAUUUAUUAACUGAUUUGGUAAUUAACCAAGCUUACCCAAGAUCAGAAAAGACAUCACAACUAUUGUGAUGAAUUUUCUAAACUAUUAGUCCUUAUAUACUGUAUCAUUCUUUAAAUAUCACCCCUGCUUGAACAAAUGGUGUUGCACUGAUCUUUUCAAAUAAUGACAAUACUUUGUGAGACUUUUUUGUUGCUGACCUAAAUAAACAGGUUAUGAUGUCUGUGGACACUCCCCUUUUAGAAAAAAAGGUAAGAGAUCAGCUUGUGGGUUUAUCUAGUGGUAUGCAUAUAUCAGCUACUUGUUCUUCCUUCAGUCAUAGCAAUCAUCUGUGGUAGCUUCAGUCAGCUUAAAAGCCAAAAUUUCCUUUCUAUGGAAAACAUGCAGGAACAGAAGUGAUCUCAGAGCUGAUCUCAUCCCAGGAUCAGGCGGGGACAUGAUUAAGGAAUGAUUUAGGACUCAAACCCUGGAGCUGAGGAACGCUCCUGGGUCCUGUAGAUAAACACUGUCUUGCCUAAAGCUGUAUAAGGCAAAUGUUUGUCUGAGAUUACAAUCAUAGACCUGCAAAUUUAAAGUUUUCAGGUGAGUGUAUUAAUAUUGCAAAAGUACCUUGUUCCCUUUUACACAUUUUUUUUUAUCAUCAGUAUAAUCUGGCUUGCUAGAACCUGGCCUUGCAGACCGCUGUGUUCAUGCAUGACCAGGUUACAGCUAAUCUUUAAAGAAUUUAACAGUCAUCUUUUCUAUGCCAGUGACUGCACCAAAUUGAAAUAUAUUAAUAAUUUACAAUUAUAGUUCAGACUAUUUGUUGUAAAACCCGCAGAAAACAACCAGAAAAAUAAGCAUAAUGAAAACCCUACAGAUUAUAAUAUCAGGAAAGCAUUUUAUGUCUUGUAUAAAUACAGGGUAACUCAAAGAGCAAAAAAGUUACAUUUUUUUGAAAUAAAUGGUAGCCGAUAAAGCAAUCUACCUACCAAGUCACUGAGUAUCUAUCCAAUUUCCACGUUUCCUCUUGAUGCCUUGCAGCCUGUGGGACAAGAGGUGUUUGAAUGACAAAUGCUUCAUAACUGGAUGCUAGUUUCUGGGAGACCUUGGUAAACUGAAUACUGUUUCAAAAAGCAAAAUUCCAGUUAACCUGUAUCUGGAACAUUCUAGUUUUGGCAAGUGUGUAUGUGUUUCUGUUUUCAGCAAUCCUACGACAUAGUUAGAAUGUUUUAAUGUAUGAUUUUGGUACAGUCAGUUUCUUAGGAAACCUGUUUGAAACCAGUGAACCUUUGAGGGAUGUUAAUCAAUAGAAAUGAAUACAUUGAUAAGGAAAAAAGAUUUAAUUCUACCAAAUACUUGUUCAGAUUAGCCAAUGCAAGGAAUCUGGAUCUGACCAAAGAAUUUUCAUUUUUAUUUAUGAUUGUGUUUUUUUUAAGCUUUCUAUUCUGUUCUAUUUCUAUUUCUAUUUCUAUUUCACUGUCUGAAUCAGCUUUUGCUAACCAUUUUCCAUGAUAGCUUAAGUGCCAACAAUGGAACAAAGAAAACAGUGCAAGAUUAUAUGAAUUUCUUAAGAUAAAUGGUUUGCUUAAGAGUAAUAUUAAUUAGGUGCAUCUCUACAGAAGAUAUUGAUUUUAUUAAAAAUAAACAUUAUUGGAACAGUUUUAACAUUUAUUGUCAUCAUAAAAAAGUUCUCUCAUGAAAACUGUUUGGAAUUUCAAGCUUGACUGAACUUGAAAAAUGCAGAGCAAAAUUUUGCCAGAUUUCAUCUGACUCCUUCUCUGGCAUAUAAAACUUGGAUGAGGUUUUGAUACUUCUGGAGCAGAUUGAGAAAAUAGGUCCAAGCUUCAGAUGUGUGAGAAAACCCUCUUGUGUUCUUUUUCAAGGAUUUUCUUUCCCUAUCUUUCACUGACUUUAUAUGACCUUCAACAACACAAAUCACUUAAAAAUAUUGUGUCCUGAAUUUUUCCUAAAUAUAGGAAUUAUGUACUACAUUAGUAGGGAUGUUAUGGCCUAAAUUUAUUUAUUUUUUUAAGCUUAUUUUAAAAACAAAGCAGUAAAUGACCGUACAACUUUACAAUUGUGACAAUUUCACCAUGAGAAAUUGAGGUAGAACUGUAUCUCUUCAGAUAUGCUUUCCCAUUUUAAAGUCAGUUUACAUGAACCAAACUUAUGCCCCCUUAAUAUUCUUCAUAUAAACCCACCACAAUUCUCUAAGCGCUCAUUUUGCUCACAAACCUAUUCAGUUUGUGUGAAUAGGUUUAGCUGGCUGGACUGUUUGUGAAAACUGCAUUUAACAUUCAUGCAAGAUGAGCACUCACUUCUGGCAGUGUUAUCACAGACAGCCAAUCAGAGAUUGGUAGCAAUUUUGUGCAAAUUAAUUGACCAGUCACAUCUAACAGUUUAAAUAACAAAUACAACAUGGGACAGAUUUUGACAUGUUUGAAUAGUUCUUUUGUUCAUUACACUCAGGCUCCCACAGAAAGCCAGUAUUCAGGGUGAGCAAGACUACUGACUGAUGGCUAAUCUGCAUUUGCUACAAGACUAGAGUCUCAUGACCAAGCUGUAAAAAUUAAGGAAUAAUAAUUAAUUGGAUAAUUUAAAGUAGAUAUCUAAUAAAAACAUUAGUAAUGGUAAGAAGUCUCUCAUGAGCAGGAAAAAUUAGAUCAUUGCAGAAUGAUUCACUGUGGAUUAUUCACACAGCUGUAGAAAUUAUUCAGACUGACAGAUUGAUGAGUAGAACAUGCCCAUAAAGACGGGAUAUUUCUCACUCUUUGUUAUCAUUUCUUUGCUACACAUUCUACAGCUUUGACUGUGAUUCUACAAGUUCAUACAAAGCAAGGAAAGCUACCAAACAGGAUAAUCUCUGAUUUUACUACCAGCACAAAAUUAAAGGAUAGAACCCAACAGGAGCAAUUGGAUGAAGAAAGAAAUGGAAAUUACAUUCUUAAUUAACAAUGGAGUUAUCAACUAAAAUGCAUAUUAUGCCCUCUUGGGCUUAAGUUUGUAAGAGAUGUGCAGAAAAUGUUGGAGUUAGCUGACUGAUUUUGAAUAUAGUCAAGUAAAAUUAUUUUUAGUAAUAAACAAACUAACAGUCAUAGGAAAAGAGUAACCUUUUUUUUUUUUUUUCUUUGCAAUCCAAAGCAAACUUCCAAUUGUUAAAUUACUGUGAUGAAAUAUGUUGUGAAACUUCACUGACAAGGGCAUAAUAUUUUUCCAAAAUAAUAUGUUUUUAAACUGACAUCUUCCUUUUUCUUCAAGUAACAAUAGUAUUUAUGUAGUUUUGAAUAGAUUUUUCCUGUUGAAGUCACAAUAAUAUUGAACUUGAUCAAGUUUAACCUGAUGAAUUUAUGAAUUCAUGCUUUUAAUUUAUAGCAUGAAGAACUUUAGCUAAAGGUAGCUUCUAUAUUGGCAAUUUUACAGCUUAGUUACUAUAAAAAAUUUACAAUAAAUGGAACUUAGUCUUUGGAAAGAUAGAAAAUGAGUCUGUCAUCUUACUUGAAUAUGGAGCUGCUAUUUUAAAUACUACAGCUGGUAUACUUUGAUUAAACAAUGCCUAUUAAAUGGAUUACUUUAAAUGGAAAUUUUGUAGUGCUUGAAUUUGGAUAGGAGAAGCUAAAUUUGUAGACAUAUCUGCACUAUUUCAGCUGCACAGUGCAAUGAAGUUUUAAUCAAAGAAAUGUCAUAAAAUGUUUGACCUUUUGGAUUUUAUUUGUACUAUUCUGAAGCCAUCCCAGAAAGAUUAUAUAUUAAACAUGAAAUAAGAAAGUAUUUUGCCUUUAUUUUUUAUGUGCUAUGGUGUUCUAUGUACCUUUUACUGAAAUAUUAAAAAAAAAAAAAAAAAAAGAAAAGGAAAAAGGUCUAGUCUCAUUCAUCAAAAAUCUCUUAUGGUAUGUUCUGAACCCUGCUCUAGCCUUUGGGGUUGAUUAUUGACUAGGAUGAUUCUGCUUAUAUAGAGCUCCUAAAAAGUGUUACUUCUUUUACUGUUAAAAAUGCAAGAAUGAGUCUUACAUAAAAUAUCUUGUGGUUUCUUACCACCAAUCUAAGAAUCUUUGGGCCUUGAAAUAUAGUUUGUUUAGCAGAUAAUCAAAAGCAUAAAUGUCAGAUGAUACUUUUCUCUGAGAAAUAUAGGAGGCCAACAACACUUCAUUUACAAUUUAAGUGCUCAGCUCUAACAGUUAUUUACAAAUCUUGUUUAAUUGUUCAGGCAUCUUGAGAUGCAUAGAUAUUUUGUUCAUAAAGUCGCCAUCCCUGCACAGUCUAAUCCAGCAAGCAUUUACACAUAUGAUAAGUUCAUUCAAAAAUUGCUGUCUGUAAGUAGGCCAAGAUCUCUUUGAUAAUGCAAUUGCAACAGCAGAGGUUAUAUGGGAAGUACUAAACUUGGGUUGCCUUCACAAUUAAAAAGCUGAACAUGUUUUCCACUUCAGUCACUGCAUUUUCUUCCAGAGCAGUUUUCAAAAGGGUUUUCUGAACACGCUUCCCAAUUCCCUUGUCAAGCUAGCUCAUUUCAUGGCAAAGAAUACAGCAUUCACAGGGCAAGAAGAAAAAAAAAAAAGAAAAGAAGGAGAAAAAUUACCUUGACUUUAUAUUAGAAUGAAAAGGGACUGCUUCUUGAUUUUUCAGUACAAUGGUAUCCAUAAACAUGACUUUGCAUCAGAAUGAGAACCCAGAGUAAUUUUCUCUAUGGAUUCUUUCAAGAAUAUAAUUUGAAUUCCCUGGAAAAUUCAGUGGUAAAUGAGGUUAAAACUUUGAAGUCUUCUGGAAAAUGAAUACUUAGUCCUGAGAAAAAGAGGAAUUCACUUCCCUUGCAGUGCUUAGGAAAGCAGCAUACACACUGAAUAAUGUAACAGGCGGAGUGGGUGGGUGUGCAUGUGCAGGCAGAACAUCUCACUGCCACUGUUGCUUCACAAUGAAAAUUCAUUCCCAGACAUGUCUUUUCCACACAAUCAUUUUAACACAUUCUUCCUAACCUGAGCAUGUUGGGCACAAAGGAGCUUCAUGCAUCAUGCUGUUUAUCCUUGACCUUUCCUGCUGAGUUCAGGGAGGUACACAUCUUCUAUUUUAUCUUGGAAAAUACUAAUUAAAAGAGAAGGGAGAGAUUUAAACGUGUGAAAUUUUAAUAGACUUUCCCAGUGUAGCAAUUGUACAUUAUGUCAUCUUGGAUAAAUUUUGACUGAAUUAGCUUUUGCAGAAUGCCCACCAGACCUGCUUUCACAGGCUGUUUUGCCAUAUGCACUAUUAAAACAUCCCCAUUAGCUAUGCCUAGGGUUUAAUCUUUUGCAACUGAUUACAAAUUGUCCAUAAUUCACAGCCCAAAAUAGAAUCACAGGAAUUAAUUUUUAAACGUUAGACUUGCAAAUUCAUUAUACCAGAAACAAAAGGAUAUAUCUACUUAUAUUAUUUUUAACCUGGAAAGGAUGAAGAUUAUAUUGGUCACAGAUGUUGAUGAUAAAGAUAAGAUACUAAUAAAGUAUUAGUCAAAGUCCAAUUAUUAGACCCAUGGAUGUUAGGGAAGUUUUAGUAUGUUAAUAUUGCAAGUCUGACAGAAGUUCUAGUAUUUCUCUUGAAGUCUGGUUGGAAGAAUCCCACUGUAUGUGAGUCACUGCCCUCUCACUUUGGUAAAGCGAUACAUACUCAAAAAAUAAACAAGAAUUGACAGAAAUUAUGCUCUGUAAACCUAAAUCGCUUCUUUUAAACAUCUUGAAGGGAGAAGGUUUUUUUCUUUUCCUAUGACUCCCUUAAUAAUGGUCAUCCUCAUUUUUGUCUUUUAGGAAGGAAAAAAAAAAAGGCAAGGGAGAAUAAAGAAGGCACUGCCUGAAAGCUGGAGCUUCAAAUCUUCCUCUAUGACUGUCAUCUCCCUGUUCAGACAAGAUGUGCAUGCAGCCCUGCACUCUAGUUCCUCCUCAGUAGUCCUUGCCUAGUUUAUCUAUGGUUCCUGUAUCAAGGAAGACAGAGGGUGAUAAAUGGUCACCUAGAGCUAACUAAUGGUCAGCUGUAAAUCAGUUAGAUAAUGCUGAAGGAAAUGGAGGAAAUGGCAUUUUCUGAUGACAGCUCUAGUACCUACCCUGUGGAGCUGUAUGAGGGCCACUGCUUUUGCUUUAAAACUGAGAAUCAGAGUGUAUGAGCUAAAGCCAAACCCCACAGUUGGAGUGCUUUUAAGACCUGGAACAAGUUAAGAUGUAUGUUUUCUAAUUUAUGAAAGAGGCAAAGAAUGACAGACAAAGAAAGGCCAGGAUAAAGAGAGGAUACAGAGAGGAUAAAGAGAAACUGCCUAUAUGUAAUUAUGAUGUAAGUAUGUAGUUACAAACUGAGAGGUUUUUCAGACAUUAUGUGAUAUUUGCCAUUCCCACAAAAGAAGAAAAGAUAGCACUUUAACAAUGUUUAGAGAAGCUGAGAUAUUUUGCAUUAAAUAGAAAUUCUUGCUGUACACCCCUUUAUUUAAUAUCUCUAAUAAACCACUUUCAACAA